UACGAAGGGGGCUAGCGUUGUUCGGAAUUACUGGGCGUAAAGGGCGCGUAGGCGGCCUUGUCAGUCAGGCGUGAAAGCCCCGGGCUCAACCUGGGAACGGCGCGCGAGACGGGGGGGCUGGAGUUCGGGAGAGGAGCGUGGAAUUCCCAGUGUAGAGGUGAAAUUCGUAGAUAUUGGGAAGAACACCGGUGGCGAAGGCGGCGCUCUGGACCGAGACUGACGCUGAGGCGCGAAAGCGUGGGGAGCAAACAGG
RNAcentral lists this ribosomal RNA (253 nucleotides) under uncultured bacterium. Its description in RNAcentral is "partial 16S ribosomal RNA". It matches the Rfam family "Bacterial small subunit ribosomal RNA", at positions 524 to 776 of the family's 1533-position model. The record is from RNAcentral.